RNAcentral lists this ribosomal RNA (336 nucleotides) under uncultured bacterium. RNAcentral's name for it is "bacterial SSU rRNA". It matches the Rfam family "Bacterial small subunit ribosomal RNA", at positions 189 to 507 of the family's 1533-position model. The record is from RNAcentral.
ACGAUCUACGGAUGAAANCGGGGGAUCGCAAGACCUCGCGCGAUUGGAGCGGCCGAUAUCAGAUUAGGUAGUUGGUGAGGUAAAGGCUCACCAAGCCGACGAUCUGUAGCUGGUCUGAGAGGACGACCAGCCACACUGGGACUGAGACACGGCCCAGACUCCUACGGGAGGCAGCAGUGGGGAAUUUUGGACAAUGGGCGCAAGCCUGAUCCAGCAAUGCCGCGUGCAGGAUGAAGGCCUUCGGGUUGUAAACUGCUUUGUACGGAACGAAACGGUGAGCUCUAAUACAGUUUGCUAAUGACGGUACCGUAAGAAUAAGCACCGGCUAACUACGUG